Molecule: ribosomal RNA, 253 nt
Filed under: uncultured bacterium
Lineage: Bacteria
Description: partial 16S ribosomal RNA
Rfam family: Bacterial small subunit ribosomal RNA
Source: RNAcentral
GACGUAGGGCGCGAGCGUUGUCCGGAUUUAUUGGGCGUAAAGAGCUCGUAGGCGGUUUGUUGCGUCGGCUGUGAAAUCCCGAGGCUCAACCUCGGGUCUGCAGUCGAUACGAGCAAACUAGAGUGUUGCAGGGGAGACUGGAAUUCCUGGUGUAGCGGUGAAAUGCGCAGAUAUCAGGAGGAACACCGAUGGCGAAGGCAGGUCUCUGGGCCGAUACUGACGCUGAGGAGCGAAAGCGUGGGGAGCGAACAGG